Molecule: ribosomal RNA, 427 nt
Filed under: uncultured bacterium
Lineage: Bacteria
Description: bacterial SSU rRNA
Rfam family: Bacterial small subunit ribosomal RNA
Source: RNAcentral
UAGGGAAUGUUGGACAAUGGGGGCAAACCUGAUCCAGCCAUGCCGCGUGAGUGAAGAAGGCCCUCGGGUUGUAAAGCUCUUUUGUCCGGAAAGAAAAGCUUCGGGUUAAUACCCCGGGGUUCUGACGGUACCGGAAGAAUAAGCACCGGCUAACUUCGUGCCAGCAGCCGCGGCAAUACGAAGGGUGCAAGCGUUACUCGGAAUUACUGGGCGUAAAGCGCGCGUAGGUGGUUGUUUAAGUCUGAUGUGAAAGCCCUGGGCUCAACCUGGGAAUGGCAUUGGAAACUGGGCAGCUAGAGUGCGGUAGAGGGUAGUGGAAUUCCCGGUGUAGCAGUGAAAUGCGUAGAGAUCGGGAGGAAUACCGAUGGCGAAGGCAGCCCCCUGGGUUACUACUGACGCUCAUGCACGAAAGCGUGGGGAGCAAACA